CAUAGCGACUAUCGUGGCAUAUCAAUAAGCGGAGGAAAAGAAACUAACAAGGAUUCCCCUAGUAACGGCGAGUGAAGCGGGAAGAGCUCAAAUUUGAAAUCUUCAAGGGUUUCCCUUGACGAAUUGUAGUUUAAAGAAGUGUUUUCUGUUAGAGAGGUGGUAAAAGUUCUUUGGAAUAGGACAUCAUAGAGGGUGAGAAUCCCGUAUUUGAUCACUUUCUACUAACGUUGUGAUACACUUUCAAAGAGUCGGAUUGUUUGGGAGUGCAGUCCAAAAUGGGUGGUAAAUUUCAUCUAAAGCUAAAUAUUGGCGAGAGACCGAUAGCGAACAAGUACCGUGAGGGAAAGAUGAAAAGAACUUUGAAAAGAGAGUUAAACAGUACGUGAAAUUGUCAAAAGGGAAGCGUUUGACACCAGUGUUGUUUUUCCGAAAAUCAAUUAUGAAUGGCUUGAUUUUAAGUUUCAUGACCUUAAAAGCUUGUUUCUUAUUUUUCAUGUCUUUCGUAAUGCACUUUUCGGUUAACAAGUCAACAUCAAUUUCUUUUGUUGUAAAAGGGUAAUGAGGAAGGUGGCUUUACUUUCGGAGUAAAGUGUUUAUAGCCUUGCUACCUCUGCAAUCGGAGAGAUUGAGGUCUGCAGCGUAGAUCCUUCGGGGUUAGAUACAUUUGUGCUAAGUUAUAGCUUUUCAUAGACAACUUGUUGACUAUGUUUAGUCUUGUAGCUUACUCGCUUACUGCUAUUUUACCUACGCUUAGGAUGUUGACGCGCGUGUGUGCGUG
This 778-nucleotide ribosomal RNA is filed under the name uncultured Neocallimastigales. RNAcentral's name for it is "partial large subunit ribosomal RNA". It matches the Rfam family "Eukaryotic large subunit ribosomal RNA", at positions 22 to 639 of the family's 3401-position model. The record is from RNAcentral. Lineage: Eukaryota; Fungi; Neocallimastigomycota; Neocallimastigomycetes; Neocallimastigales.